AGACUCUCCCCAGCACGCCGGAGCCACCACCGCUGGACCUUCCACCUCUGCCUCUCCACCGCAGCUCACUUCUUUUCUUCCAGUCCAUCGCCGACCGAACCUGCGUCUCCUCCUCCUCCAGACCAUCAACGGCGUCCUCCUACAGCAGCAGCUCCUCCUCCACAGAUCCUCCCUCUCAGCUGUUCCCCUUGCUCUUCGCAGCUCCUCAACCGGAUCGAAGCCUCCAGUAGCAGUCUGAAACGGCGACGCCCACGGAUCUCUGAUCUGUCCGCCGCCGGUUUCCUGCUUCAAUCGACCACCCACAGCUCCUCC
Molecule: long non-coding RNA, 312 nt
Filed under: Populus tremula
Lineage: Eukaryota; Viridiplantae; Streptophyta; Magnoliopsida; Malpighiales; Salicaceae
Description: long non-coding RNA (PTRE_LNC001820)
Source: RNAcentral